Colias croceus (clouded yellow) is the source of this 434-nucleotide long non-coding RNA. RefSeq lists it as uncharacterized. Lineage: Eukaryota; Metazoa; Arthropoda; Insecta; Lepidoptera; Pieridae. The transcript has 3 exons. The record is from RefSeq and is a predicted model, not a curated record.
CAGUAUUGUGGGAUGUGGCUCCGGAAAGAAUGAAAACCAGAAAAGUUUGUCUUUGCACCGGUUACCAAGAAGUGAAAAUAGAAAAGGAAAAUGGUUAGAAGCAAUUGAAACUGAAAAUAUCAAGCCAAAUGUAAAGGAUAUAUCAUAGUAUGUUCCCUACAUUUCCCCGAAAGUGCUUUCAAUAGAACAAUGGAUGUGAUUAGUCUGCACGAUGAUGCUAUACCAGUAUGUUUGCCGCUGCAUUCACACAGGGUACCGGUUGAGCCUCAAAUCCCGAACUCAAAAAUGAACAGAGUGAAUCCGAGUGCAUCACAGGCUGCACGAAAUAGUUUAGUUCUAUAAUUUUCUCUGUUAUUAAGUAAUUAUUGUUUUUUUUUUCUAUUACCUACUGUAUAUUGUGUUGUUCAUCGUAAUAAAAAACUAUUAUAUACCUA